Molecule: RNA transcript, 4018 nt
Organism: Oncorhynchus masou masou (cherry salmon)
Lineage: Eukaryota; Metazoa; Chordata; Actinopteri; Salmoniformes; Salmonidae
Gene name: platelet-derived growth factor subunit A-like
Exons: 7
Source: RefSeq, a predicted model, not a curated record
UAGACAUAAGGGCUUUUCGCAACCACUUUCUACGGGUUUGAAUAAGACGAGCCAUGGUGGCAGGCUACAGUGCAUGCCUCUCUCUCGCUGUCACACUCUUGCUGGCGCGGGGGGUCGUUUUGCGGGGUUGAGCGUGGGGGCGAAUGGGUCGAGGGUAGUCUAGGGACUUCGGGGUCCUGGUGCUGUCCUUAGCGCGCAUUUGUUCUGGAGAAGGGGCUUUGCUUGCCAGCAGUCAACAUUAUUGCAUGUUGUUUUACAAGUUGUGGGACACAACUAUUUAUAGACUUAACAAUGGAGUAAUAAGGUACUUGUCACAAAGUGCAUAGGCCUAGGCUAUUUUGGAUACACGUUAUUUUGAUUUUGCAAACAUAUUAGGUCUACUUGUAUUUAUAUUUAAAAUGUUCUUUCUCAACCAGUUUGUGCUGAUUUUGUGCAUAUUAAGUCAUAAAAGCCUAUUUGAUUUUUUUGUGUACUAUUUAAUCUGCUAAAAAACGGAACAAACAAGAAGCAAAAUUGUAGCCCGAAGGCGACAAAAAUGUUUUGCAAUAUCAGCACCACCCCAAUUGCCAUAUGAAUGCAUUGCAUAGAACGCUUUCAGAAACAAGCAUUGUAACUGCACCAAGAAACAUAUUUGACUUAUUUUUGGCGGUCGUUCCAAAUCUGUUUAUGCGUGAACCAACUGUGACAACGUUAUGGUUGAGCCAGCCAAACGCUUUCAUGGGAACCGCACUUGGGAUGUAUAAAUAGCCUCGGCUCUGUCGCUGUGAGGCCGAACACUCCUUCCAGCUUGAGAGAGAAACCUGGUAUCCGCAACAAGUCACAAGUGCAAGUGUAGCGGACGCCUGUGAACAAGACUCAAGAGAGCCGAACAUGCAUGCUGAAGUCCCGCAGGAGUUGAUAGAGAGACUGUCCCACAGCGAAAUCCACAGCAUCAGCGACCUCCAGCGGCUAUUGGACUCCGAGAUAGACGCCCCCGUAGGUGCGGAAAAUGAGGUCAUGGAGGAGACCAAGCCGAUGCAGAAGCAUCAUAAGAACUACUCCCAACAGCAUGGCUACUCAGACCUGAAGAGCUCACAGAUACACAGCCGACGCAAGAGGAGCGUUGAGGAGGCGGUGCCUGCGGUGUGUAAGACGCGGACGGUGAUCUAUGAGAUCCCGCGCAGCCAGGUGGACCCCACGGCUGCCAACUUCCUGAUAUGGCCGCCGUGCGUGGAGGUCAAGAGGUGCACGGGAUGCUGCAACACCAGCAACAUGCGCUGCCACCCCUCACGCAGGCACCACCGCACCGUUAAGGUGGCCAAGGUGGAGUAUGUGCGGAGGAAACCCAAGCUGAAGGAGGUCUUGGUCAGGUUAGAAGACCACCUGGAGUGUGUGUGCCAGUCACAACAUCACGUGACCGAGCACUCAGACGCAGACACAGACCACCAUACUAGGGCUAAAGGUAGGAAAAGGAAACCUAAAAAGCUAAAGCUCAACAAGGAUUUAUUGGCGACAUAAUAAACUUGAACACAUUAUUCCAAAGUCCGACCGCCGGACCCCCCGGAUCCAACAGUGGACGUAAGGUGAGACCCCAGCAGCAUUGGACUUCAGUGUGGAAGGGGCCAAAGACAGGAUGCUGCCAUAUUUGGACUGCUGACCUACCCCCUUCCCUGACCCCACCCCACGCCACCUACCGCCUUUUAAAAACAAAGAUUACUGUAAAGAGAAAAAAAGACAAAAAGUUAAUAAAAUGCCAAAGGUGCUUUUUUCUAUUACCGUAAAAAGUAAUGCAGAAGGUCUCUGCCAAGCGCAGCAGAACCAACCAAUCGAACAAUGACGCGGAUGAGGAUGGUGAAGCUGAUAAAGAGCUGGGCAGAAAAGAGAGGAGGAGGAGGACAAGAUGGGUUGUCGUUUGUUGAGUAAACAGGACAAUUUGACGAUCACAGAGAGAGAUCCAGGAUGGAUCAUUGGAUUAAGCCUCGAUGGGGGAUCUGUCGACUGGAUCCUAAAAGGACACAGAGAGGGACAAUCAGUGGACUCUUCGGGACAUGUGGAGGCUUGCAUGUUCCUAGCCGUUGGCCUAAGUGACACUUGCCUGGACAGUCAAUGACUGACAGUGAGAGAGGGAGAGAGGGAAAGAGAUGUUCAGAGAAGUUGUAGAGAGGUGUAGAAGGUACUGGUCGUGUUGCUUGUUGUUCCAGAACUCUCUGUACACUGUAGUGGAACUUGUGAACAUUCUGGAACUCAUAGAAUGGUCGCCCAUUUAGUCUAUUCUGGAUAAAGUGUUUGGAAUCAUCAGGACCUGUUGUUCCAAGAUGUCUUCUCUGCUUCUCUCUCCUGGGUUCCCCUGUCUGCUCCUAUUGGGAUUGUGCCAGUCACCAUAUACACUACAGAACGAUUCAGAAAGGAAGAUUCAUUCAUUGCUACUAAUAAACUAUUUAUACGUGUGAACGUUUUCCUUUCUCUCUCUCUCCCUCCAAGACCUUAUGUUUUCUGUGACAUGUAAGAUUCAUGUUCUGUCUGAUCUUCUGGUAGUGAAUCUUCAUGUCCACAUGUUGUUUGUAGUUGUUCAUGUAGUUGUUACUCAUGUUCAAUGUUGCCUUAUUAUGUGCCAGUAUGUUAUCUGAACAGUCUCAAGUCUAGUUGUAAUGGCUGGAAAUGUAAGGGAGCGUGAGAAGGAGGAGAUGGGAGGACAGAGUCUGUACAAGUACAGGAAGAUGCUUUAUUUUUGUUAACAAAAUAUAUUAUGCUUACUUAUAUUCAAGCAGGAAGUAUGUUUGUUAUUUCUUUGUUUGUUGUGGUUGAAUGCUUUUAUUUAAUCCAUGGAAACGAUGCAGGAAUGGGGGUGGUGAAGUGUAUAAGGCCCCAGUGCUCCCUGUUUGGUGGUGUAGGGUAGGCUUACAUCAGCAGUGCUGUACUGUAUUAUCUAGAGAGAUGGAUAGAGCUAACCUGGUCCCAGAUCAGUUUGUGUUGUCCUGCAAACACAUAUAGUCAUUGGCAAGGCAGCACAAACCGAUCUGAGAUCAGGUUAGUGGAGAGCUGGCUGAGGAAGACUCUGUCUGGGGCAUCGUUGGACUGUCUCUUUAACCCAGUUAUCUCGCCAAAAGUUACACCCAGUAACCAGAGCGUCAUUAUACACAACAGAACACACACGUUCAGCAUGUGUGUGUGUGUGUGCACAAAUGUGUGUGUGAAACCACUUUUAAACCACAUCACACUCCUUUGAUAAGAUGGUGCCCAGUCCGCCCCACCAGCACACAAGCUGUUCUUAACGAGUGCAAAGUCCAUCUUGAAUGAGAGAGUUUGUGAACAAUUCAACAUGAAUGGUUCCCUGGUUAAUCAAGCAGCAGUCUUCCAUUGACACGUCAACAACGAUGAAGACUGUUCCUCGGUUGAUGAGUGAAAGAUUAAAAGAGAAGAUACCACUGUUUAUGGAGAGAUUGACACCAAAUCUCUAACAACACCCUAUGUCCCGUACGGUGAAGUGCACUACUUUAGACCAGAGCCACUGGCCAAAAGUAGUGUGCUACACAGGGAAUAGGUUGUCGUUUGGCACACACUGAAUCAAUAGAAAGACCUGGGCACUUUUCCAAAAUGUCUCAGAGUAGGACUGCUGUUCAUCUUAUACAUUAUGAUCUAAACAGCUAAACUGAUCCAAGAUCAGCACUUUAUGAAGUCCUGGGUGAGAGGCAUGUUGAGAGAAAAUAGAUGACUGAAGAAGCAACAACACUGUAUCUGCAGCUGCUUUGUGUUGUGGUAACAACAUGUUCAACUGCACUAUACAGACUUCCAAGGUGAUUCCAUUGGUGCUAUAUGUAUAAAGGAAAUCAGAAGAAGUUUCACCACCAUUUUGCAAUGCAUUCAUUUAUUCAUUCAUUGUCAAUAGACCAGGGACCAUUGCUUACAGUAACUAAAGAAACUACAACAACACAAGCUUAUACCAUUUUUUAUUUGGGCCUCUAUUGGAUAAAAACAGCAAUGAUUAUAAUUUAUAUAUUUAUGUUUUCAAUAAUAAAUACAUUCUGCUUAUCAAACUGUA